This 464-nucleotide ribosomal RNA is filed under the name Vreelandella stevensii. RNAcentral describes it as "partial 16S ribosomal RNA". It matches the Rfam family "Bacterial small subunit ribosomal RNA", at positions 338 to 795 of the family's 1533-position model. The record is from RNAcentral. Lineage: Bacteria; Pseudomonadati; Pseudomonadota; Gammaproteobacteria; Oceanospirillales; Halomonadaceae.
CCUAGGGUGGCAGCAGUGGGGAAUAUUGGACAAUGGGCGAAAGCCUGAUCCAGCCAUGCCGCGUGUGUGAAGAAGGCCUUCGGGUUGUAAAGCACUUUCAGUGGGGAAGAAAGCCUUGGGGCUAAUACCCUCGAGGAAGGACAUCACCCACAGAAGAAGCACCGGCUAACUCCGUGCCAGCAGCCGCGGUAAUACGGAGGGUGCGAGCGUUAAUCGGAAUUACUGGGCGUAAAGCGCGCGUAGGCGGUCUGAUAAGCCGGUUGUGAAAGCCCCGGGCUCAACCUGGGAACGGCAUCCGGAACUGUCAGGCUAGAGUGCAGGAGAGGAAGGUAGAAUUCCCGGUGUAGCGGUGAAAUGCGUAGAGAUCGGGAGGAAUACCAGUGGCGAAGGCGGCCUUCUGGACUGACACUGACGCUGAGGUGCGAAAGCGUGGGUAGCAAACAGGAUUAGAUACCCUGGUAGUC